Ruditapes philippinarum (Manila clam) is the source of this 799-nucleotide long non-coding RNA. RefSeq lists it as uncharacterized. NCBI's taxonomy places the organism in Eukaryota, Metazoa, Mollusca, Bivalvia, Venerida, Veneridae. The transcript has 5 exons. The record is from RefSeq and is a predicted model, not a curated record.
UGAAAUGUCGAAACACAGAAUGCGGUCAUGUGAAUUGUGUUCCCUAUGGAAAAACACAUAGACUCUAGUAGUAGUACUAGUAGAUUGAAGACCUGGGAAAGUUGGAAUGCCAUGUUUCGUUGUCAACACAAAAUUAGGAACAGCAAUGAUUGAUAGUGUAGGUGGGCCGGUGAGAGGAGGGUCAACAAUUUGUUGUCAACACUCAAUAUACCAACAAUUGAAAUAAAAACAUGAAAAGAAAUGGAGAGACGUGUUGGAAAUAUCAUUGAGACAGUGGCUUCUAUGUCGACAGAAUCUGCUGCGAAAGAUCAAGGAAAUGGAGGAUGUGCAUCAUGAAGAAUCAAUGGUAUCAGAACACAACAUCAUGGAAGGUCUUAUUGACAAGAUCUUGGAGGAUGUCCUUUGCCAGGUGCCUCGCCAGCACUAAAGUCUAUUCUUCAGUCAGAUGCUACAGUUACAAAUGACAGUGAAUGGUCAGAUUUAUACAAUUGUGAUGAACAAUCCUCAACAAUACAUCAAACAAAAAUGCCUAUUAAACUUUCUCACAGACAGUCAAAGGUUGAAAACAAAUCAGAAGUGGUCCACAUCUUGAAAAACCUCACAGCAGAUUAAGACUUUCCCCGAAAUUUCCCUGUAAAACCCGCAGUGGUAUGUCCAGUGCAGUAGAUACUGCCUGGCACAAAAGAGGAUUUGACAGUUUAACAUGUAAGUAAAAUAAGAUUAUUUUUAUGCCCCCACAAUGUGGGAGCAUAUAGCGUUGCACUUGUCAGUUCGUCCCAAAAUCUUGUGAACGCAACUC